UCUAUCAAAGGCUUUUCUUUAAGAGGCUUAGCUUCGCGCUCCGUAGGUUUUUCCGUCUUUGGUUUAACUUCCUCCACCUUCUUUUCCUUACGAGUGAUCGGUUUCUCUAAAGGCUUUUCCUCAACAGCCUUCUCAGCCGAUACGGGCAACUCUUUUUCUUCAACCAAAGGCUUU
Long non-coding RNA from Nematostella vectensis (starlet sea anemone), 174 nucleotides. RefSeq lists it as uncharacterized. The transcript has 2 exons. NCBI's taxonomy places the organism in Eukaryota, Metazoa, Cnidaria, Anthozoa, Actiniaria, Edwardsiidae. The record is from RefSeq and is a predicted model, not a curated record.